AGAGUUUGAUCCUGGCUCAGGACGAACGCUGGCGGCACGCUUAACACAUGCAAGUCGAACGAGAGAAGAGGAGCUUGCUUUUCUGAUCUAGUGGCGGACGGGUGAGCAACACGUGAGCAAUCUGCCUUUCAGAGGGGGAUACCGAUUGGAAACGAUCGUUAAUACCGCAUAACAUAAUUGAACCGCAUGAUUUGAUUAUCAAAGAUUUAUCGCUGAAAGAUGAGCUCGCGUCUGAUUAGCUAGUUGGUAAGGUAACGGCUUACCAAGGCGACGAUCAGUAGCCGGACUGAGAGGUUGAUCGGCCACAUUGGGACUGAGACACGGCCCAGACUCCUACGGGAGGCAGCAGUGGGGAAUAUUGCACAAUGGAGGAAACUCUGAUGCAGCGAUGCCGCGUGAGGGAAGAAGGUUUUAGGAUUGUAAACCUCUGUCUUCAGGGACGAAAAAAGACGGUACCUGAGGAGGAAGCUCCGGCUAACUACGUGCCAGCAGCCGCGGUAAUACGUAGGGAGCGAGCGUUGUCCGGAAUUACUGGGUGUAAAGGGAGCGUAGGCGGGAUCGCAAGUCAGAUGUGAAAACUAUGGGCUUAACCCAUAAACUGCAUUUGAAACUGUGGUUCUUGAGUGAAGUAGAGGUAAGCGGAAUUCCUAGUGUAGCGGUGAAAUGCGUAGAUAUUAGGAGGAACAUCAGUGGCGAAGGCGGCUUACUGGGCUUUAACUGACGCUGAGGCUCGAAAGCGUGGGGAGCAAACAGGAUUAGAUACCCUGGUAGUCCACGCCGUAAACGAUGAUUACUAGGUGUGGGGGGACUGACCCCUUCCGUGCCGCAGCAAACGCAAUAAGUAAUCCACCUGGGGAGUACGACCGCAAGGUUGAAACUCAAAGGAAUUGACGGGGGCCCGCACAAGCAGUGGAGUAUGUGGAUUAAUUCGAAGCAACGCGAAGAACCUUACCAGGUCUUGACAUCGUAUGCAUAGCUCAGAGAUGAGUGAAAUCUCUUCGGAGACAUAUAGACAGGUGGUGCAUGGUUGUCGUCAGCUCGUGUCGUGAGAUGUUGGGUUAAGUCCCGCAACGAGCGCAACCCUUACUGUUAGUUGCUACGCAAGAGCACUCUAGCAGGACUGCCGUUGACAAAACGGAGGAAGGUGGGGAUGACGUCAAAUCAUCUUGCCCCUUAUGACCUGGGCCUCACACGUACUACAAUGGCUGUCAACAGAGGGAAGCAAAGCCGCGAGGUGGAGCGAACCCCUAAAAGCAGUCUUAGUUCGGAUUGUAGGCUGCAACCCGCCUACAUGAAGUCGGAAUUGCUAGUAAUCGCAGAUCAGCAUGCUGCGGUGAAUACGUUCCCGGGCCUUGUACACACCGCCCGUCACGCCAUGGGAGUCGGUAACACCCGAAGCCUGUAGUCUAACCGCAAGGAGGACGCAGUCGAAGGUGGGAUUGAUGACUGGGGUGAAGUCGUAACAAGGUA
This 1470-nucleotide ribosomal RNA is filed under the name metagenome. RNAcentral describes it as "bacterial SSU rRNA". It matches the Rfam family "Bacterial small subunit ribosomal RNA". The record is from RNAcentral.